This 144-nucleotide transfer RNA is filed under the name Candidatus Aenigmatarchaeota archaeon. RNAcentral describes it as "tRNA-Ile". Lineage: Archaea; Nanobdellati; Candidatus Aenigmatarchaeota. The record is from RNAcentral.
GGGCUCGUAGCUCAGCGGCGAGUGCGCUCCGCUCAAGCACCUGUCUUAUAAGCAGGCGGUUCGAGGGUUCGAGCGGGGGGCAACCUUCGGGUUUCCCCCAACGCUUCCCCCUUCGCGGGAAGACCGGAAAUCCCUCCGAGCCCA